GACUUAGUACUCUUGAAAGACAUGAUUUUAUCUACAUGAACAAUAGCCCACCAUGUGUUUGAUAAAAUGUCAUUUAUAGAAUUCUUAGGAAAUGGAAGGUCCAAUGUACAUCCUAUGAGUCGGAUGAUUAUAUAAUUAUUGAAAUGAUGAUGAAAUGGAUACAUGUAUAUGAUUUUCUCUAUAUAGUGUUGUGAGUCGACCAAGCCUAGUACAGG
RNAcentral lists this long non-coding RNA (215 nucleotides) under Solanum tuberosum (potato). Its description in RNAcentral is "long non-coding RNA (STUB_LNC002568)". Lineage: Eukaryota; Viridiplantae; Streptophyta; Magnoliopsida; Solanales; Solanaceae. The record is from RNAcentral.